UACGUAGGGGGCUAGCGUUGUCCGGAAUCAUUGGGCGUAAAGGGCGCGUAGGCGGCCUGUUAAGUCGAACGUGAAAUCCCCGGGCUCAACCCGGGAACUGCGUCCGAUACUGGCAGGCUUGAAUCCGGGAGAGGGAUGCGGAAUUCCAGGUGUAGCGGUGAAAUGCGUAGAUAUCUGGAGGAACACCGGUGGCGAAGGCGGCAUCCUGGACCGGCAUUGACGCUGAGGCGCGAAAGCCAGGGGAGCAAACGGG
This 253-nucleotide ribosomal RNA is filed under the name uncultured bacterium. Its description in RNAcentral is "partial 16S ribosomal RNA". It matches the Rfam family "Bacterial small subunit ribosomal RNA", at positions 524 to 776 of the family's 1533-position model. The record is from RNAcentral.